UGGGGUAUAGCUCAGUGGCAAGGCAUGUGUCUAGCAUACAUGAGGCCCUGGGUUCGAGUCCCAGCACUUCAC
Molecule: transfer RNA, 72 nt
Filed under: Fukomys damarensis (Damara mole-rat)
Lineage: Eukaryota; Metazoa; Chordata; Mammalia; Rodentia; Bathyergidae
Rfam family: tRNA
About the family: Transfer RNA (tRNA) molecules are approximately 80 nucleotides in length. Their secondary structure includes four short double-helical elements and three loops (D, anti-codon, and T loops). Further hydrogen bonds mediate the characteristic L-shaped molecular structure. tRNAs have two regions of fundamental functional importance: the anti-codon, which is responsible for specific mRNA codon recognition, and the 3' end, to which the tRNAs corresponding amino acid is attached (by aminoacyl-tRNA synthetases). tRNAs cope with the degeneracy of the genetic code in two manners: having more than one tRNA (with a specific anti-codon) for a particular amino acid; and 'wobble' base-pairing, i.e. permitting non-standard base-pairing at the 3rd anti-codon position.
Source: Rfam by way of RNAcentral